This 497-nucleotide ribosomal RNA is filed under the name uncultured bacterium. Its description in RNAcentral is "partial 16S ribosomal RNA". It matches the Rfam family "Bacterial small subunit ribosomal RNA", at positions 28 to 507 of the family's 1533-position model. The record is from RNAcentral.
GAUGAACGCUGGCGGCGUGCCUAAUACAUGCAAGUCGAGCGAACAGAUAAGGAGCUUGCUCCUUUGACGUUAGCGGCGGACGGGUGAGUAACACGUGGGUAACCUACCUAUAAGACUGGGAUAACUUCGGGAAACCGGAGCUAAUACCGGAUAACAUUUGGAACCGCAUGGUUCUAAAGUGAAAGAUGGUUUUGCUAUCACUUAUAGAUGGACCCGCGCCGUAUUAGCUAGUUGGUAAGGUAACGGCUUACCAAGGCAACGAUACGUAGCCGACCUGAGAGAGUGAUCGGCCGCACUGGAACUGAGACGCGGUCCAGACUCCUGCGGGAGGCAGCAGUAGGGAAUCUUCCGCAAUGGGCGAAAGCCUGACGGAGCAACGCCGCGUGAGUGAUGAAGGGUUUCGGCUCGUAAAACUCUGUUAUUAGGGAAGAACAAAUGUGUAAGUAACUGUGCACGUCUUGACGGUACCUAAUCAGAAAGCCACGGCUAACUACGUG